RNAcentral lists this ribosomal RNA (606 nucleotides) under Cophyla milloti (Nosy Be giant treefrog). RNAcentral's name for it is "partial 16S ribosomal RNA". The stretch from base 1 to 428 matches the Rfam family "Bacterial large subunit ribosomal RNA", at positions 677 to 1300 of the family's 2925-position model. The record is from RNAcentral. Lineage: Eukaryota; Metazoa; Chordata; Amphibia; Anura; Microhylidae.
CCAAGCAAAACGCACUUAAAGUUUGACAUCCCGAAACUAGGCGAGCUACUCUAAAGCAGUUUACAGAACCAACCCGUCCCUGUAGCAAAAGGGUGGGGAGACUUUAAAGUAGAGGUGACACACCUACCAAGCCUAGAGAUAGCUGGUUAUUCAAGAAGAGAAUUUUAGUUCACCUUUAAGCCUCCCCAAGUACUAUUAAACACCACAUAAGCUUAAAAGUUAUUCAAAUAGGGGACAGCCUAUUUGAAAAAGGACACAGCCUAAAAUCUAGGGUAAUACCCCCCCCCAUGUGAUCAAGUCAGCCCAAAAGCAGCUAACUUUCAGAAAGCGUCCAAGCUCCAUCACAACUCAUCAUCAAUCCCCACAUUAAACCCCAACCCUCAACCAUUACUGAAUAAUCUUAUAUUGUAUAAGAAAUAUUAUGCUAGAACUAGUAACAAGAAGAAGACCUUCUCCAAAAUGUAAGCGUAAGCCAAAAUAAACACUACUGGCACUUACCGCCAUAAACCUGCAGUACCAACAUAUCAAGAAAACAGUACCCCCAUGGACGUUAACCUUACACUAGAACAUUCCAGGAAAGAUUAAAAAAGAGGGAAGGAACUCGGC